GAUGAACGCUGGCGGCGUGCCUAAUACAUGCAAGUCGAGCGAACAGACGAGGAGCUUGCUCCUCUGACGUUAGCGGCGGACGGGUGAGUAACACGUGGAUAACCUACCUAUAAGACUGGGAUAACUUCGGGAAACCGGAGCUAAUACCGGAUAAUAUAUUGAACCGCAUGGUUCAAUAGUGAAAGACGGUUUUGCUGUCACUUAUAGAUGGAUCCGCGCCGCAUUAGCUAGUUGGUAAGGUAACGGCUUACCAAGGCGACGAUGCGUAGCCGACCUGAGAGGGUGGUCGGCGACACUGGAACUGAGACACGGUCCAGACUCCUACGGGAGGCAGCAGUAGGGAAUCUUCCGCAAUGGGCGAAAGCCUGACGGAGCAACGCCGCGUGAGUGAUGAAGGUCUUCGGAUCGUAAAACUCUGUUAUUGGGGAAGAACAAAUGUGUAAGUAACUAUGCACGUCUUGACGGUACCUAAUCAGAAAGCCACGGCUAACUACGUG
This 497-nucleotide ribosomal RNA is filed under the name uncultured bacterium. RNAcentral's name for it is "partial 16S ribosomal RNA". It matches the Rfam family "Bacterial small subunit ribosomal RNA", at positions 28 to 507 of the family's 1533-position model. The record is from RNAcentral.